This 399-nucleotide ribosomal RNA is filed under the name uncultured bacterium. RNAcentral describes it as "bacterial SSU rRNA". It matches the Rfam family "Bacterial small subunit ribosomal RNA", at positions 28 to 429 of the family's 1533-position model. The record is from RNAcentral.
GAUCAACGCUGGCGGCGUGCCUAACGCAUGCAAGUCGGACGGGCCGGGGGCGACCCUGGUGCCGUGGCGGACGGGUGCGUAACACGUGGGGAACCUGCCCUCAGGUGGGGGAUAACCUGCGGAAACGCGGGGUAAGACCGCAUGAGCUGGUCUGGUGGUGGGCCAGAUCAGGAAAGCCGGGAGGCGCCUGAGGAGGGUCCUGCGGCCGAUUAGCUAGUUGGUGGGGUCAUGGCCUACCAAGGCGAUGAUCGGUAGCUGGUCUGAGAGGACGGCCAGCCACAGGGGGACUGAGACACGGCCCCCACUCCUACGGGAGGCAGCAGCGAGGGAUUUUCCGCAAUGGGCGCAAGCCUGACGGAGCGACGCCGCGUGGGGGAGGACGCCCUUCGGGGGUGUAAA